CCUACGGGCGGCAGCAGUGGGGAAUAUUGCACAAUGGAGGAAACCCUGAUGCAGCGACGCCGCGUGAGUGAAGAAGUAUUUCGGUACUUUAAGCUCUAUUAGCAUGGAAGAAAAUGACGGUACCUGACUAAGAAGCCCCAUCUAACUACGUGCAAGCAUCCGCGUUAAUACGUAGGGGGCAAGCGUUAUCCGGAGUUACUGGGUGUAAAGGGAGCGUAGGCGGCAGCGCAAGUCUGGAGUGAAAUCCCAUGGCUUAACCAUGGAACUGCUUUGGAAACUGUGCAGCUAGAGUGCAGGAGAGGUAAGCGGAAUUCAUAGUGUAGCGGUGAAAUGCGUAGAUAUUAGGAGGAACACCAGUGGCGAAGGCGGCUUACUGGACUGUAACUGACGUUGAGGCUCGAAAGCGUGGGGAGCAAACAGGAUUAGAUACCCUUGUAGUC
This 440-nucleotide ribosomal RNA is filed under the name uncultured bacterium. RNAcentral describes it as "partial 16S ribosomal RNA". It matches the Rfam family "Bacterial small subunit ribosomal RNA", at positions 338 to 795 of the family's 1533-position model. The record is from RNAcentral.